CCUGUUUGAUUGUGUUUUCAGUUUUUGUUUUUUAAAAGCAUUUUAUAAAUCAAUUUUUAGAAACUAUUUUUAAGAAGAAAAUAAAAUAAAUACCUGCUUGGAAUCUUAUUUUUAAAAAGUGUUUUAUAGAUAAGAAAAUUCUGUCACUUAUUUACAAAAAUGCCAUUAAUGAAAAUAUACCACAUUUUCGUGUUUUUAGUUUUGGAAACUGGAAACUGAAAAUCAAAACAUUAUUUAGCAGUUCUCAUUUUUUAGUUUUAAAAACAGCAAAACAUAAAACAGUUUUGGGAAACAAUUUUUAAAAAGUAGUCAAUCAAACAAGUUUUAGAAUUUUCAAAUUUUAGAGAAGAGAAAACAGUUUUCAAAAACAGAAUCAAACA
RNAcentral lists this long non-coding RNA (380 nucleotides) under Medicago truncatula (barrel medic). Its description in RNAcentral is "long non-coding RNA (MTRU_LNC001133)". Lineage: Eukaryota; Viridiplantae; Streptophyta; Magnoliopsida; Fabales; Fabaceae. The record is from RNAcentral.